RNAcentral lists this ribosomal RNA (433 nucleotides) under uncultured bacterium. RNAcentral's name for it is "partial 16S ribosomal RNA". It matches the Rfam family "Bacterial small subunit ribosomal RNA", at positions 29 to 507 of the family's 1533-position model. The record is from RNAcentral.
AACGAACGCUGGCGGCAUGCCUAACACAUGCAAGUCGAACGAGACCUUCGGGUCUAGUGGCGCACGGGUGCGUAACGCGUGGGAACCUGCCCUUAGGUUCGGAAUAACUCCCCGAAAGGGGUGCUAAUACCGGAUAAUGUCUUCGGACCAAAGAUUUAUCUCCUUUGGAUGGGCCCGCGUUUGAUUAGCUAGUUGGUAGGGUAAAAGCCUACCAAGGCGACGAUCCAUAGCUGGUCUGAGAGGAUGAUCAGCCACACUGGGACUGAGACACAGCCCAGAAUCCUACGGGAGGCAGCAGUGGGGAAUAUUGGACAAGGGGCGAAAGCCUGAUCCAGCAAUGCCGCGUGAGUGAUGAAGGCCUUAGGGUUGUAAAGCUCUUUUACCCGGGAUGAUAAUGACAGUACCGGGAGAAUAAGCUCCGGCUAACUCCGUG